UGACCUCAAAUCAGGUAGGACUACCCGCUGAACUUAAGCAUAUCAAUAAGCGGAGGAAAAGAAACUAACAAGGAUUCCCCUAGUAACUGCGAGUGAAGCGGGAAAAGCUCAAAUUUAAAAUCUGGCAGUCUUUUGGCCGUCCGAGUUGUAAUCUAGAGAAGUGUUAUCCGCGCUGGACCGUGUACAAGUCUCCUGGAAUGGAGCAUCAUAGAGGGUGAGAAUCCCGUCUUUGACACGGACUGCCAGGGCUUUUGUGAUGCGCUCUCGAAGAGUCGAGUUGUUUGGGAAUGCAGCUCAAAAUGGGUGGUAAAUUCCAUCUAAAGCUAAAUAUUGGCGAGAGACCGAUAGCGAACAAGUACCGUGAGGGAAAGAUGAAAAGAACUUUGGAAAGAGAGUUAAACAGUACGUGAAAUUGCUGAAAGGGAAACGCUUGAAGUCAGUCAUGUUGUCCAGGGAUCAACCUUGCUUUUGCUUGGUGCACUUUCUGGUUCGACGGGUCAGCAUCAAUUUCGACCGUUGGAAAAAGAUCAGGGGAAUGUGGCAUCUCUGGAUGUGUUUAUAGCCCUUGGUUGCAUACAAUGGUUUUGGGAUUGAGGAACUCAGCACGCCGCAAGGCCGGGUUUUAAACCACGUACGUGC
This 639-nucleotide ribosomal RNA is filed under the name Cortinarius cf. duracinus SMI203. RNAcentral's name for it is "eukaryotic LSU rRNA". It matches the Rfam family "Eukaryotic large subunit ribosomal RNA", at positions 1 to 618 of the family's 3401-position model. Lineage: Eukaryota; Fungi; Basidiomycota; Agaricomycetes; Agaricales; Cortinariaceae. The record is from RNAcentral.